RNAcentral lists this ribosomal RNA (534 nucleotides) under Triticum aestivum (bread wheat). RNAcentral's name for it is "partial small subunit ribosomal RNA". Lineage: Eukaryota; Viridiplantae; Streptophyta; Magnoliopsida; Poales; Poaceae. The record is from RNAcentral.
AUGGGCGACCACUACCAGACGCUGGGGCUCGGCCGCGACGCCAGUAAGGCCGACAUCAAGAACGCCUUCUUCCGCCUCGCCCACCGCCACCACCCCGACCACCACACCCACGCCGACGCCGCCGCCCGAGCCGAGGCCACGCUCCGCUUCCGCCAGGUCAAAGACGCCUACGACGUGCUCCACGACGACCGCCGCCGCGCCGAGUACGAUUCCUGGUGCCGCUCCUCCUCGCGUUCGAGUGGCUACGGGCACCGUCACGGACACGGACACGGCGGGAACUCUACCUGGUCGUCGUCCGCGAGGAACGACCACGGGCACCGUCACGGACACGGCGGCGCCACCUCGUCGGCCGGUUCGAGGGCUCCGCCUCGGCCGAGAGGCCGUUCUAGAAUCGAGAACGCGAUAUUCUGGACAGGCUGGACAGCGUUCCUGAAGACGAAGCAACAGUGGGAAAAUUUGAAACGAGGAUGGGAAAAGAGGAACCCCUGGAAAUCAUGGUUGGAGUCGAGAGAGAAGGACAAAGAGAAGAACUAG